This is a non-coding RNA of Malus domestica (apple), 857 nucleotides long. The record is from RefSeq and is a predicted model, not a curated record. Lineage: Eukaryota; Viridiplantae; Streptophyta; Magnoliopsida; Rosales; Rosaceae.
ACGACGCCGUCUCGUUUGGUGAUUUUAAAAAAAGUAAAUGGGACGACGUCGUUUGAGCUUUUAGCCCGUUACCUCUUCACCUCGUUUUCCUAUUUCCAGAACAAAUUAGAGCACAUAACAGCGCCCUAUACGCCUCCCCUCCUCCCAACCCAAACACUCAAAGGCGUUUGAUGAUUUGCUUUCGAACAAUGGAACUAGGAGUGGGCCAUUGGCAGAGUUUGAUUGUCUUCCUCCACCUAUCUCUAGGUGUUUGAUAGUCUUCCUCCAUCUGCCUCUCGUAUUGCUUUUUGCUUGUCUUUAUACACUCCAUGUGUUUGUUUUAAUGCCUCAAAGAAUUAUCUGACGAAUUAGUCCCCAGGGGCAAUGUGAAUGAAAAUGAGAAUGAUAUGGCGGUAAUUCUGAGUAUACCAUUGUUGAUGUUGAGGUGGCGAACGAGGAAAGUGAGGGUAAUAGAGAUGAAGGGGAGGUAGCAAAAUGUUCAGUACAAAGGUAUUAAACUUGGUCUAAGGGAUUUCGUUUUCUACGGUGUUCUUGUGCGCAGAGCUGCAAUGCAUGACAUUAUGACUAUGUAUGCCUAUUAUCUUGCCAUUAUUUUGGGACUCAUAGUGCACUCUUAUUUUGUGGUCAGUGUACCAUCGAGCUUUGCCAAUAUCUAUCAUCUUGGGUGUCAUUUUUUACUUCUUUACUCGGUUAUUACUGGAGCCUUAUGUUAUUGGGACAUCUACAACUUGUUGAUAUUUUGAUAGUCCAUUUGUUUUUGGUAAGAGAGAGGUUAUAUUUAAGAGGAAGCUGAUGUCCUAGCUAUUUUUUGUUGCUACUGAAUUCUCUAUCAAAUGGGUUUCCAAAUUAGAAGUUCA